CUGAUGAUGCCUUUCCGCAUAUGUUUUACAAUGUUGAAAGUUUAACUUGUUCCAUUGCUCUUCAGAAUGUUUCGCUAAUUUUCUGGUGUUGCCUUCACUUGUUCCAUUGCCCUUCAGAAUACCUUGCCGGUUUUUUGUUGGCGCUUCGGGCAGGUGGACGGGUAAUGAUGCCGAUCUCCCUGGGACUUUAACUCGAAGACUUAUGUUUUUCAUGAGAUCGGCAUAUAAUAUCUGAGCUCGUUCAUAUGUAUCGUAAAUCACAUCUCAAGACGGAGCUUAGCCGGCCUACGAAGUUGAUUUUCCGAACUAUAAGAAUUCCUCUGAAUCGAAAGCUAAGAUAGUGGGGUAGGCGAUAGUGAUGUAAACGUAGAUGAUGAUGUAUCUGGGCGUGUAAAUCCUUUAGGGAUAGCCUUUUAGCCCGUAGUGUUGGUAUUUGUGACAUGCUGUAAUGUGUUUUUCUUUUAAUGAAAGUUUUGUUUUGCGUUCAUACUCGAACUGUUCUUUCUUUAUCAUAACUGAAGUACUUAGAUUGCUUGCUCUGUAACUUUUCCCAAAAGAUCUGCUGUAUUGCUUUCUCCUUCUUGCCCCUUUAAUCGUUUAGAACUAGAGUUCAUUCGGCCAGCUAAGCUUUUGACUUACUUUUUUCCGAACUGGACUAGUCGUACUCGUGAGCUCUGUUUUAAUCCUGUGAGCCGAGCUCUUGACCUUCUUAGGUAAUAAGCAGGGCUGGUCUUUAUCGUGCUUUCAUCUGCUUGUGUCUUUGAGCUUUUUAUUUAUCUUUUUUCGAGCUGGAUCAGUCGUAACCCUGAGCUCUGCUUUUAACCUAUGAGCCAAGCUUUCG
RNAcentral lists this long non-coding RNA (841 nucleotides) under Manihot esculenta (cassava). RNAcentral describes it as "long non-coding RNA (MESC_LNC010990)". Lineage: Eukaryota; Viridiplantae; Streptophyta; Magnoliopsida; Malpighiales; Euphorbiaceae. The record is from RNAcentral.